CUCCUGCCAUCUGAUUAUCUCAAGUGC
Molecule: non-coding RNA, 27 nt
Filed under: Mus musculus (house mouse)
Lineage: Eukaryota; Metazoa; Chordata; Mammalia; Rodentia; Muridae
Source: RNAcentral